RNAcentral lists this ribosomal RNA (465 nucleotides) under uncultured Rhodocyclaceae bacterium. RNAcentral describes it as "bacterial SSU rRNA". It matches the Rfam family "Bacterial small subunit ribosomal RNA", at positions 917 to 1381 of the family's 1533-position model. The record is from RNAcentral. Lineage: Bacteria; Pseudomonadati; Pseudomonadota; Betaproteobacteria; Rhodocyclales; Rhodocyclaceae.
GACGGGACCGCACAAGCGGUGGAUGAUGUGAUAAUUCGAUGCAACGCGAAAACCUUACCUACCUUGACAUGUCCGGAAUCCCGAAGAGAUUUGGGAGUGCUCGCAAGAGAACCGGAACACAGGUGCUGCAUGGCUGUCGUCAGCUCGUGUCGUGAGAUGUGGGGUUAAGUCCCGCAACGAGCGCAACCCUUGUCAUUAGUUGCCAUCAUUUGGUUGGGCACUCUAAUGAGACUGCCGGUGACAAACCGGAGGAAGGUGGGGAUGACGUCAAGUCCUCAUGGCCCUUAUGGGUAGGGCUUCACACGUCAUACAAUGGUCGGUACAGAGGGUUGCCAACCCGCGAGGGGGAGCUAAUCCCACAAAGCCGAUCGUAGUCCGGAUCGCAGUCUGCAACUCGACUGCGUGAAGUCGGAAUCGCUAGUAAUCGUGGAUCAGCAUGUCACGGUGAAUACGUUCCCGGGUCUU